AGUUGGUCCAAAGGUAGUGAGUUAUCUCAGCUGACUGUUCACAGUCAGUUACAGAUCAAACUCCUUGUUCUGCGCUCUCCUUCAUCUCACUACUGCAUGUGACUGUCUUUAA
This 112-nucleotide Y RNA is filed under the name Saimiri boliviensis boliviensis (Bolivian squirrel monkey). Its description in RNAcentral is "Y RNA (ENSSBOG00000013628.1)". It matches the Rfam family "Y RNA". From Rfam's summary of the family: Y RNAs are components of the Ro ribonucleoprotein particle (Ro RNP), in association with Ro60 and La proteins. The Y RNAs and Ro60 and La proteins are well conserved, but the function of the Ro RNP is not known. The record is from Rfam by way of RNAcentral. Lineage: Eukaryota; Metazoa; Chordata; Mammalia; Primates; Cebidae.